RNAcentral lists this ribosomal RNA (892 nucleotides) under Verruciconidia persicina. Its description in RNAcentral is "LSU rRNA". It matches the Rfam family "Eukaryotic large subunit ribosomal RNA", at positions 35 to 963 of the family's 3401-position model. Lineage: Eukaryota; Fungi; Ascomycota; Sordariomycetes; Hypocreales; Bionectriaceae. The record is from RNAcentral.
UAAGCAUAUCAAUAAGCGGAGGAAAAGAAACCAACAGGGAUUGCCUCAGUAACGGCGAGUGAAGCGGCAACAGCUCAAAUUUGAAAUCUGGCCCUAGGCCCGAGUUGUAAUUUGCAGAGGAUGUUUCUGGCGAGGUGCCUUCCGAGUUCCCUGGAACGGGACGCCAUAGAGGGUGAGAGCCCCGUACGGUUGGUCGCUAAGCCUCUGUGAAACUCCUUCGACGAGUCGAGUAGUUUGGGAAUGCUGCUCUAAAUGGGAGGUAUACGUCUUCUAAAGCUAAAUACCGGCCAGAGACCGAUAGCGCACAAGUAGAGUGAUCGAAAGAUGAAAAGCACUUUGAAAAGAGGGUUAAAUAGUACGUGAAAUUGUUGAAAGGGAAGCGCUUAUGACCAGACUUGGACCGGUUGAUCAUCCAUCGUUCUCGGUGGUGCACUCUGCCGGUUCAGGCCAGCAUCAGUUCGUCCCGGGGGAUAAAGGCUUUGGGAAUGUGGCUCUUCGGAGUGUUAUAGCCCAUUGCGUAAUACCCUGGGAUGGACUGAGGUUCGCGCUCCGCAAGGAUGCUGGCGUAAUGGUCAUCAGUGACCCGUCUUGAAACACGGACCAAGGAGUCGUCUUCGUAUGCGAGUGUUCGGGUGUCAAACCCCUACGCGUAAUGAAAGUGAACGUAGGAGAGAGCUUCGGCGCAUCUCCGACCGAUCCUGAUGUUCUCGGAUGGAUUUGAGUAAGAGCAUACGGGGCCGGACCCGAAAGAAGGUGAACUAUGCUUGUAUAGGGUGAAGCCAGAGGAAACUCUGGUGGAGGCUCGCAGCGGUUCUGACGUGCAAAUCGAUCGUCAAAUAUGAGCAUGGGGGGCGAAAGACUAAUCGAACCUUCUAGUAGCUGGUUUCCGCCG